AGCAGAGAUGCCUAGGUUGUUUUUUAUUUAUUUAUUUUUGAACUGUUGAAGAGAAGGCUCAGGAUGACGAGUGAGGACUGGAGAGAGGAUCUUGGCCAACUCGGCUUUGACAGCGCCUCCAGUUUCCUCAAGAAACAGAACUGAAUGAUGCUCCUCUGGUAAACCUUGUGCCACCACUGCUUGCAGACGUGAAUAGUGAAGACGCAGGAAACUACAUGGUCAAGCAAGACUGUGACCCAUUCUGGCUGUGAACACCGACAGAAGAGCUGAGGAGCCCUACGCACGAUACCACAAAUAACCCCUGGGAAGUCUUAACCGACCUUGAUAUUUGAUCUGGCAUGGUAUAAUCCUGGUUCAUCCCCGAGGCAAGAUCAUCAUGAAAACUAAAUGUUUAGAAUCAAUUUAGGACACUGAGGCAGCAGUGAUAUCACCACUGAAGACACUCAUGAAAGAAGACUUCAAAAAGUGUCAGG
This is a long non-coding RNA of Fukomys damarensis (Damara mole-rat), 473 nucleotides long. RefSeq lists it as uncharacterized. The transcript is spliced from 4 exons. The record is from RefSeq and is a predicted model, not a curated record. NCBI's taxonomy places the organism in Eukaryota, Metazoa, Chordata, Mammalia, Rodentia, Bathyergidae.